This 468-nucleotide ribosomal RNA is filed under the name uncultured bacterium. RNAcentral describes it as "partial 16S ribosomal RNA". It matches the Rfam family "Bacterial small subunit ribosomal RNA", at positions 28 to 507 of the family's 1533-position model. The record is from RNAcentral.
GACGAACGCUGGCGGCGUGCUUAACACAUGCAAGUCGAACGGAAGGGCCCUGCUUUUGUGGGGUGCUCGAGUGGCGAACGGGUGAGUAACACGUGAGUAACCUGCCCUUGACUUUGGGAUAACUUCAGGAAACUGGGGCUAAUACCGGAUAGGAGCUCCUGCUGCAUGGUGGGGGUUGGAAAGUUUCGGCGGUUGGGGAUGGACUCGCGGCUUAUCAGCUUGUUGGUGGGGUAGUGGCUUACCAAGGCUUUGACGGGUAGCCGGCCUGAGAGGGUGACCGGCCACAUUGGGACUGGGAUACGGCCCAGACUCCUACGGGAGGCAGCAGUGGGGAAUAUUGCACAAUGGGCGGAAGCCUGAUGCAGCAACGCCGCGUGCGGGAUGACGGCCUUCGGGUUGUAAACCGCUUUCGCCUGUGACGAAGCGUGAGUGACGGUAAUGGGUAAAGAAGCACCGGCUAACUACGUG